Molecule: ribosomal RNA, 465 nt
Filed under: Dactylosternum hydrophiloides
Lineage: Eukaryota; Metazoa; Arthropoda; Insecta; Coleoptera; Hydrophilidae
Description: partial 16S ribosomal RNA
Source: RNAcentral
ACGGUUAAUUUUAAUCCAACAUCGAGGUCGCAAUCUUUUUUAUCAAUAUGAGCUUACCAAAAAAAUUACGCUGUUAUCCCUAAGGUAAUUUAAACUAUUAAUCAAUAUAAAUUGGAUCACCUAAUUCAUAAAUUAAUGUAAUUAAUAAUUAAAAAGUUAAUUAAAUUUUAAAAUCACCCCAACCAAAUAAAUGUAAUUAAUAAUAAUAAUAAAAUUCUUUAAAAUUAAAAUUAAACAAAAUAUUAAACUCUAUAGGGUCUUCUCGUCUUACAAAAAAAUUUAAGCUUUUUGACUUAAAUAUAAAAUUCCAAAAAAUAAAAUAAAGACAGUUAUUUUCUCAUCUAACCAUUCAUACAAGUUUUCAAUAAAAAAACUAAUGAUCACGCUACCUUUGUACAGUUAAAAUACUGCAGCCAUUAAAUUAAUCAUUGGGCAGGUUGGACCUUAAAUUAUAACCAAAAGGAC